UACGGAGGGGGCAAGCGUUGUUCGGAAUUAUUGGGCGUAAAGCGUAUGUAGGCGGCUGGAUAAGUCAGACGUGUAAGCCCACGGCUCAACCGUGGAAUUGCGUUUGAAACUAUCCGACUUGAGUGCAGGAGAGGAAAGCGGAAUUCCCAGUGUAGCGGUGAAAUGCAUUGAUAUUGGGAAGAACACCGGUGGCGAAGGCGGCUUUCUGGUCUGACUCUGACGCUGAGGUGCGAAAGCGUGGGGAGCAAACAGGAUUAGAAACCCCGGUAGUCC
RNAcentral lists this ribosomal RNA (273 nucleotides) under uncultured bacterium. RNAcentral's name for it is "partial 16S ribosomal RNA". It matches the Rfam family "Bacterial small subunit ribosomal RNA", at positions 524 to 796 of the family's 1533-position model. The record is from RNAcentral.